GGUUGCGAUCAUACCAGCACUAAUGCACCGAAUCCAUCAGAACUCCGCAGUUAAGCGUGCUUGGGCGAGAGUAGUACUAGGAUGGGUGACCCCCUGGGAAGUCCUCGUGUUGCAACCC
This 118-nucleotide ribosomal RNA is filed under the name Helianthus annuus (common sunflower). The record is from RNAcentral. Lineage: Eukaryota; Viridiplantae; Streptophyta; Magnoliopsida; Asterales; Asteraceae.